GAGUGAGAAUGCCGGAAUGAGUAGCGAGAAUUAUGUGGGAAUCAUAAUGGCCGAAAAUCUAAGGUUUCUUGGGGAAGGUUCGUCCGCCCAAGGUAAGCCGGGAGCUAAGGCGAGGCCGCAAGGCGUAGUCGAUGCACAUACGGUAGAAAUUCCGUAGCCACCGAACUUUAAACCAGAAGGACACUUGCAGAUAGCGGAACCCAGCCGUUGGUUGAGCUGGGCGAAAGGGACUGAAAUAUAGUAGGGAAGUCCGCGAUGCUGUGAGGCGAGAAAAGCUCUGGUGUAUACUAAGGUGCCCGUACCGCAAACCGACACAGGUAGAUGAGGAGAGAAUCCUAAGGCCAACGGGAGAAGGGUUGUUAAGGAACUCGGCAAAUUGACCCCGUAACUUCGGAAGAAGGGGAGCCUCGAAAGAGGCCGCAGUGAAUAGGCCCAAGCAACUGUUUACCAAAAACACAGGUCUAUGCUAAAUCGAAAGAUGACGUAUAUGGGCUGACGCCUGCCCGGUGCCGGAAGGUUAAGAGGAGAGCUUAGCGCAAGCGAAGGUUUGAAUUGAAGCCCCGGUAAACGGCGGCCGUAACUAUAACGGUCCUAAGGUAGCGAAAUUCCUUGUCAGGUAAGUUCUGACCCGCACGAAUGGCGUAAUGAUUUGGGCACUGUCUCGACAGCCCGCCCGGCGAAAUUGUAGUACUGGUGAAGAUGCCAGUUACCCGCAACUAGACGGAAAGACCCCAUGGAGCUUUACUGCAGUUUAAUACUGGGAAUCGGUAAUUCAUGUACAGGAUAGGUGGGAGACUGAGAAGCACGGCCGUCAGGUCGUGUGGAGUCACCGGUGGGAUACCACUCUUGGAUUGCUGGUUUCCUAACCUGCGGCCCUGAAUCGGGUCGGGGGACACUGUUAGACGGGCAGUUUGACUGGGGCGGUCGCCUCCAAAAGAGUAACGGAGGCGCUCAAAGGUUCGUUCAGCACGGACGGAAAUCGUGCAUUGAGUGUAAACGCAUAAACGAGCCUAACUGCGAGACCGACGGGUCGAGCAGUAACGAAAGUUGGAGUUAGUGAUCCGGUGGUAUGUGAGUGGAAAUGCCAUCGCUCAACGGAUAAAAGCUACCCUGGGGAUAACAGGCUGAUCUCCCCCAAGCGUCCACAGCGACGGGGAGGUUUGGCACCUCGAUGUCGGCUCGUCGCAUCCUGGGGCUGUAUUCGGUCCCAAGGGUUUGGCUGUUCGCCAAUUAAAGCGGCACGCGAGCUGGGUUCAGAACGUCGUGAGACAGUUCGGUCCCUAUCUGUUGCGGGCGUAAGAGAUUUGAAGGGAGCUGUCCUUAGUACGAGAGGACCGGGAUGGACGUACCUCUGGUGCACCAGUUGUCCUGCCAAGGGCAUAGCUGGGUAGCUAUGUACGGACGAGAUAAACGCUGAAAGCAUCUAAGCGUGAAACUCUCCCUAAGAUGAGAUCUCUCAUCCUUUAUGGAGUAAGGGCCCAGAAAGACGAUCUGGUUGAUAGGCCGGAGGUGGAAGUACAGUAAUGUAUGCAGCUGACCGGUACUAAUAGCCCGAGGGCUUGACCU
This 1566-nucleotide ribosomal RNA is filed under the name gut metagenome. RNAcentral's name for it is "bacterial LSU rRNA". It matches the Rfam family "Bacterial large subunit ribosomal RNA", at positions 1286 to 2925 of the family's 2925-position model. The record is from RNAcentral.